This 301-nucleotide ribosomal RNA is filed under the name uncultured bacterium. Its description in RNAcentral is "partial 16S ribosomal RNA". It matches the Rfam family "Bacterial small subunit ribosomal RNA", at positions 509 to 809 of the family's 1533-position model. The record is from RNAcentral.
CAGCCGCCGCGGGAAUACGAAGGGGGCUAGCGUUGUUCGGAAUUACUGGGCGUAAAGGGCGCGUAGGCGGCCAUUCAAGUUAGAGGUGAAAGCCCGGAGCUCAACUCCGGAAUUGCCUUUAAGACUGCCGAGCUAGUAGGUGAGAGAGGUAAGUGGAAUUCCGAGUGUAGAGGUGAAAUUCGUAGAUAUUCGGAAGAACACCAGUGGCGAAGGCGGCUUACUGGCUCAUUCUAGACGCUGAGGUGCGAAAGCGUGGGGAGCAAACAGGAUUAGAUACCCGUGUAGUCCCUGUCUCUUAUAU